Molecule: ribosomal RNA, 340 nt
Filed under: uncultured bacterium #1830-1L19
Lineage: Bacteria; Bacillati; Actinomycetota; Rubrobacteria
Description: bacterial SSU rRNA
Rfam family: Bacterial small subunit ribosomal RNA
Source: RNAcentral
GGGGGCGAGCGUUGUCCGGAAUUAUUGGGCGUAAAGAGCGUGUAGGCGGUUCGGUAAGUCUGCCGUGAAAACNUGGGGNUCAACCCUGGGCGUGCGGUGGAUACUGCCGGGCUAGAGGAUGGUAGAGGCGAGUGGAAUUCCCGGUGUAGCGGUGAAAUGCGCAGAUAUCGGGAGGAACACCAGUAGCGAAGGCGGNUCGCUGGGCCAUUCCUGACGCUGAGACGCGAAAGCAUGGGGAGCGAACAGGAUUAGAUACCCUGGUAGUCCAUGCCGUAAACGAUGAACACUAGGUGUGGGGGGAGUCGNAUCCCCCUGUGCCGAAGCCAACGCGUUAAGUGUU